Beta vulgaris subsp. vulgaris (sugar beet) is the source of this 1311-nucleotide long non-coding RNA. RefSeq lists it as uncharacterized. The record is from RefSeq and is a predicted model, not a curated record. NCBI's taxonomy places the organism in Eukaryota, Viridiplantae, Streptophyta, Magnoliopsida, Caryophyllales, Amaranthaceae. The transcript has 2 exons.
UAAUUGAAAGCUAGAGUAUCUUUUAGCCUUUAGGAAAUUACCAUGUAGUUGGAAAUGGAAAAGAAAAAGAAAGCUAUUGACUAGGAGAAAAUUCUGGAGUGUAAAAAGUUCUCUGUUUCUUCAUGUAUAAAUGUUCUUACCAUCACUAAGUGAAUAAGGAGCACCGAAGGUUUUACAAAAGCUUGUCCUUUGAUCUCUAAAUCCUUGCAAAUCAGUAAGUGCAAUUUGGUAUUUUCCAAAAAGGACAGAUCAUAAAAUGGCUUCUAAGCUUACCAAUGAAGAGCCGGGCAGCUUUCGAAAGAAGAAAAACUUGGAUAGUUGGAGAUUCCCUAAAAUUCCCAUUGAUCAAGUGUACAAGAAGAAAAUCUUUGGGAUUUUCCCAAGCUAUGCUAUAAAAGAUAGUGAAGAAACUAUCACAUUAAAAGCCACUAACCAAAAUGUAUCCAUUAAAUUACUUUCUAGAGAUUUCCUAAAAGGUUUCAUCAAGAAACAACAUAAGUUUAUGCACUUAGGUGUGGUCCAAAUAGCUAUUAAACCACUAAUGAGAGAUGGGAUUAGGAGCUCCUGUAAUAGUGAGCCUUAGAGAUGCUAGGCACCUUAACUUCGAAAACUCUUUGUUAGCACUUGUGGAAGCUAAUGUAUCUGAAGGUCCUUUCUAUUUUAAUUGCUUCCCUAAUUUUCGAUUUCUUUGGCGGAUGCAUCAUCGUUCGAAGUCCUUACCUUGAAUAUCAAGACUGGAGGAUACCUUUGGCAUUAACAUACAGGGUAGCGUGUAAGGCGAUGGUGGAUUUAAGCUCCGAGUCACUACAAGAGUCAGUUUUUGGUGAGACUGCUUAUUUUCAACAGGCUAUUGGACUCGAAGCACGACUAAAUGGAUGAGGUAGAAGUUCCAGAGUCAUGGACAUGUAAACCAGAACCUAAACCAAUGCAGCAGGCAAAUGUAUUCCAAACUCUUCCAGAUGGCCGUGUGAUAGUCAGGUUUCCAUCGACCAGAGAAGCACAAGAUCAUGAGUAGUGAUGAGAUGGUGUGGAGAUAUCUUCAUUCCCAGCCACAACUGGUAAAAAUCUGCUAAGGGUUGUUGUAAGAGUGUCAUAUAAUAAGCUUGAAUAAUACUAUUGAACAAUGUUGUAAUAUCUUAUAAGGUUUGUGAAGGAUGAAUUUAUAGUUUGUUUUAGUAUGUCUUCGUUACAUAGGACUAGCUAGCAGUAGUUAGCACUUAGUAGUAGCAGCCCCUUGUACUGUUUGAUUCCUCUGGCAUAUGUUAUUUGAAGGUAACAACAAUAAUAAUGUCAUUAGACAUUAGUGUUAAA